CCUGAUGUUUGAAUAGGUGGCAUACUACUAGGACCUAAUGUUUGAACUUAAUUGAUGUGAUCCGGUCCACCUGAGGAACUCGUACCACUUUGUUGAGGAUUGAUUGUAUGAAUGAGAAAAGUAUGCAUAUUUUCACGAGUAGCAAAAUUACCCCUAACUGAAGAUUUACCUACACGGCCUGCGCUACCUCGACCUCUACCUCGAGGCAUAUUUCCAAUUGCUCCUUUUCUUGGCCUGCAAUGGGAUGCUCCAACAUAACUUGAGCAGUAUAGUCUCUGAAAAUUCAAACAAGCAGAAGCUAAGUUACAAAAAAUUCAAGCAAAAACCAUUUAUCCGACCAACUGAUGUGAAAAACGUAUGAGUAAGUAACAUGUCGCAUUGAGAAGCAGAUGAAUGAUUAAGAGGUCCAAAUUCACAAUUUUGGCUAUACAUCAAGAGGAUCUAGUUCUCCAUCUCGAUGUAGUUCGAAAUGAGACUACUGAAGCUUUGUAUAGCAGCAUAUUGAAAGUGAAUCUCAAUCUAUCCCAUAAAUUCCAUCAAAGGAGCAGUUGCAUUUAAAACUCAGUUAGUAUUUUAAUUUUACAAGUUUGUCAGAUUUCAUAAAUUAGAUCCCUUGCUUUGUCAAGUGAUAGUGUAACGUAUCAACGCAUAGAAGCUAAGUUAAACUCUUAUAUUUUAACUAACAUAAGCUACCAAACUCCAUUGCAGGCACCUGAAGAGAUCAAGGGAAUGAUCAAGGAAACAAUAACAAAAAUGAGCAUAGAAUCUGGGAAAGAACUAAAAGAACUAGCACGUUCAAUAAAAACAAUGACUUCUCUCUUGUCGGCUAAUAAACAUGUCUCAAACGCCAAAACAGCAGUCAAGAACCUGAAAUCACUUGUCAUAUCAGGUUUCUGGGAAGAUAUUAACUUACUAGAAGUCAUACCAGUGGCUGCAGUUGCAUCAAUACUAACCGAUAUCGUCAUUUGUGUCGAACAAAUUGCUGAUUCUAUUAAUAAGCUUGCU
This 1005-nucleotide long non-coding RNA is filed under the name Nicotiana tabacum (common tobacco). RNAcentral describes it as "long non-coding RNA (NTAB_LNC003147)". The record is from RNAcentral. Lineage: Eukaryota; Viridiplantae; Streptophyta; Magnoliopsida; Solanales; Solanaceae.